AUUCCGGUUGAUUCUGCCGGAGGCCACUGCUAUUGGGGUUCGGCUAAGCCAUGCGAGUGGAGGGCGCGUCGCAAGACGUGGCCCCGCGUACGGCUCAGUAACACGUAGUCAACCUACCCUUGAGUCCGGGAUAACCUCGGGAAACUGAGGAUAAUACCGGAUAGGCGAGAGAUGCUGGAAUGCUCUCUCGCUUAAAGCUACGGCGCUCAAGGAUGGGACUGCGGCCUAUCAGGCUGUUGGCGGGGUAACGGCCCACCAAACCUACAACGGGUACGGGCGAUGGGAGUCGGAGCCCGGAGAUGGGGACUGAGACAAGGCCCCAGGCCCUACGGGGCGCAGCAGGCGCGAAAACUCCGCAAUGCGCGAAAGCGUGACGGGGGAACCCCAAGUGCCGCUGUACUUUGUACGGCGGCUUUUCGAGAGUGUAAGAAGCUCUCGGAAUAAGGGCUGGGCAAGACUGGUGCCAGCCGCCGCGGUAAUACCAGCAGCCCAAGUGGUGGUCACGAUUAUUGGGCCUAAAGCGCUCGUAGCCGGGUUGAUGUGUCCCUUGUGAAAUCGGGCGGCUCAACCGUUCGGCUUGCAAGGGAUACUAUCAGCCUUGGGGUCGGGAGAGGUCGAGGGUACUCCGGGGGUAGCGGUGAAAUGCUGUAAUCCUCGGGGGACCACCAGUGGCGAAGGCGCUCGACCAGAACGAGCUCGACGGUGAGGGGCGAAAGCUGGGGGAGCGAACGGGAUUAGAUACCCCGGUAGUCCCAGCCGUAAAGCAUGCAGGCCAGGUGUCUGGUACUCUUUGAGAGUACCAGGUGUCGUAGGGAAGCCGUUAAGCCUGCCGCCUGGGAAGUACGGUCGCAAGACUGAAACUUAAAGAAAUUGGCGGGGGAGCACCACAAGGGGUGGAGCCUGCGGUUUAAUUGGAUUCAACGCCGGACAACUCACCAGGGGCGACAGCUGGUUGAAGGCCAGGUUGAUGACCUUGCCGGACUAGCUGAGAGGUGGUGCAUGGCCGUCGUCAGCUCGUACCGUGAGGCGUCCUGUCAAGUCAGGCAACGAGCGAGACCCUCGCCCCUAGUUGCUACCGGUUGAAUGCCGGGCACUCUAGGGGGACCGCUGGCGCUAAGCCAGAGGAAGGGGAGGGCGACGGUAGGUCCGUAUGCCCCGAAUCCCCUGGGCUACACGCGGGCUACAAUGCGCAAGACAAUGGGAUGCGACCCCGUGAGGGGAAGCCAAACCCAUAAACUUGCGCUCAGUUCGGAUCGAGGGUUGAAACUCACCCUCGUGAAGCUGGAAUCCCUAGUAAUCGCGAGCCACUACCUCGCGGUGAAUACGUCCCUGCUCCUUGCACACACCGCCCGUCAAGCCACUCGAGUGGGGUCUAGAUGAGGCUUACUCGUAUGGGUAAGUCGAAUCUAGGUUCCGCAAGAGGGGCUAAGUCGUAACAAGGUAGCCGUAGGGGAACCUGCGGCUCGAUCACCUCCA
This is a non-coding RNA of Hadesarchaea archaeon YNP_N21, 1476 nucleotides long. Lineage: Archaea; Methanobacteriati; Hadarchaeota (SeqCode); Hadarchaeia (SeqCode). The record is from Rfam.